GGGGCAGCGACUUAAUGGAUAGAGUAUGAACCUGGAAGUCAUAAGGACCUGGGUUCUAAUCCCAGCUCCACCA
RNAcentral lists this transfer RNA (73 nucleotides) under Ornithorhynchus anatinus (platypus). It matches the Rfam family "tRNA". From Rfam's summary of the family: Transfer RNA (tRNA) molecules are approximately 80 nucleotides in length. Their secondary structure includes four short double-helical elements and three loops (D, anti-codon, and T loops). Further hydrogen bonds mediate the characteristic L-shaped molecular structure. tRNAs have two regions of fundamental functional importance: the anti-codon, which is responsible for specific mRNA codon recognition, and the 3' end, to which the tRNAs corresponding amino acid is attached (by aminoacyl-tRNA synthetases). tRNAs cope with the degeneracy of the genetic code in two manners: having more than one tRNA (with a specific anti-codon) for a particular amino acid; and 'wobble' base-pairing, i.e. permitting non-standard base-pairing at the 3rd anti-codon position. The record is from Rfam by way of RNAcentral. Lineage: Eukaryota; Metazoa; Chordata; Mammalia; Monotremata; Ornithorhynchidae.